This is a non-coding RNA of Oryza meridionalis, 209 nucleotides long. The record is from Rfam. NCBI's taxonomy places the organism in Eukaryota, Viridiplantae, Streptophyta, Magnoliopsida, Poales, Poaceae.
UUUAGACACAGUCGCGAGUUUCCGUAUCCAACAUUUGACUAUACGUCUUAUUUGAUUAUUUUUUUCUAUGAUUAAUAUUUUAUUGUUGUUAGAUCAUAAAAUAUUAAUAAUAUUUUAUGUGUGUCUUAUUUUAAAAGAACUUUUUAUAAUUUUUUUAAAUAAGGCAGACGGUCAGACGUUAGAUAUGAAAACCCACAACUACAUUUAAA